This 269-nucleotide ribosomal RNA is filed under the name uncultured soil bacterium. RNAcentral's name for it is "partial 16S ribosomal RNA". It matches the Rfam family "Bacterial small subunit ribosomal RNA", at positions 26 to 307 of the family's 1533-position model. The record is from RNAcentral.
AGAUUGAACGCUGGCGGCAUGCCUAACACAUGCAAGUCGAACGGGAGUAGCAAUACUCUAGUGGCGGACGGGUGAGGAAUACGUAGGAAUUUGCCCUUAAGUGGGGGAUAACCCGGGGAAACCCGGAUUAAUACCGCAUGACCUCGAAAGAGCAAAGUGGGGGAUCGCAAGACCUCACGCUUUUGGAGAAGCCUACGUCGGAUUAGCUAGUUGGUGAGGUAAUGGCUCACCAAGGCGACGAUCCGUAACUGGUCUGAGAGGAUGAUCAG